Cryptotermes secundus is the source of this 3932-nucleotide long non-coding RNA. RefSeq lists it as uncharacterized. Lineage: Eukaryota; Metazoa; Arthropoda; Insecta; Blattodea; Kalotermitidae. The transcript is spliced from 3 exons. The record is from RefSeq and is a predicted model, not a curated record.
UUGAGCAUUUGCCUGGUGAUAAAGGUGGAUGUUAGUGGUAAUCUGAUAUGAGCUGCUAGAAGCUGACAAAGUCAUUGUAUGAAGAAAUCUGCAAGCGUGGAACAGUCUCCCCAUUUGAGAAGGCAUGUCUGCCAGUCGUCGACAUUUGGGCUCAGGUGACAAUCCAUGACGAGUGACCUUUCCCAGAGGAUCAUCCAUUUGGUUUGUAAUUGAUGGGUUAGGAAAUAUAUUACACAUUCCUUCAAAGUGUAUGAUUCAUAUUGAAUUUGAUGAUUUUUUAAAAUCCAAUAUGUGAUUCAUAUUGAAUAUAAUGCCUUUAAGUGCUGCUUGCUGUUAAUUUUUAACAGUUUAUUGUAGUGAUUAUAAAAUGCAAUAUUGUAGCCCAGUUUCAUGUUAGAGGAAGUGUUUCGUUGAAAGAAAUCUGUUUGCUAUGAAUGUUGUAUUUAUGCCCAAGAAAGUUUCAUUUGUGUCAGUUGAUGUAAUUUAUGUGAAUGGCUUAUAAGAAUAGGGUUGUAUGCUUUCCUGACAAACUGACUAAGAAAGCAAGCCUUUUUAGAUGUUUUUUUCAAUCUUUUUGUUGGUAAUAAAAUGUGAGAAGCCUGUAAUCAUAUGUUUGAUAUUUUAUUGUUAAUAACCACAUGCCUUUUCCUUGUUACUAAGGACGAUUGGGGGGAGUUAGCGGUACAAAUUGCACUACUUGACAAAAUGUACAUGCUGCAGUGAACUGAAAUGAGAUGUUUUGCUGGAAGCUGUUUCUAAAGAAUCUCCACUGCGUAUUGGUGCCUGCACGUGUUAUUCUGGCCUCUGGGUUUCUGCUAGAGACAACUGUUAACAAAGAGCUGUCCAGUGGAGCAUGACAUGUAGCUGUUCUCCGAGUACAAUUAAUACUGUGGAAUCAGCUGGAGCGCCAUGUUGGAUGUGAUGAGGGAGUACAUACAUUCAUGUAACAAACUUGAGAUGGGUUUACUUUGCAGGAAAGUCUGUCUGGUGGUAACCUUUGCACCUGCAGUGUAGAGAAUUGGCAUUGUAACCUGUGCAUGUAAGCUUACAGCAAGGUUAAUAGUGUGAUUUUUUAACACUUGGUUGUUCUUCAUGCAGAGUUUUAGUUUGUUGGACAUUAUUUUCUCAGGUCAGUUCCUCGUACUGAGUUUGUUGGACGUUUUCUCAGGUCGAUUCCUGGCAUUCGCAUGACCUGCAUUGAUAAGUUUCCUUGGGUUCAUUCCCGGUACUAGCACUCGACCAUCAUUUGCAUCACUAGCACAUGGAAUUGGUAUGCUCGUGAGAGUCUGUUGUAUUGGAAUAAUGAGACUUUUGUGGUGUAAAGUGAUUGGAGAGGUGGUAAGGGCAGUUGGAAUAUGUAAGGAAGACAGUAUGCCUCUUGUAAGUAAGAACAGAAGGAGCACUCACUAGACUUUUCAUUCCUUUAAGUGGUAACUGGAUAAUAUUAGCAAAACACAGAAAUGUGCCUUAAUGUAUGGUACAGCCUUGAGUAAUAAAUGGAACUAGGUCAUUGGUGGCUACAUGUAAGCGUGUGUCCUGAAAGAUGAGAUUUGCUACUCAUUUCACAAAUAUAAAGUUAAGUGUGGAACGUAACCACAUUGGAGUUUUGUAUGGUCAGAGGUAAUCUGAAAUUGCAUCGUUUAGCUGAAGUUCGUGUUCAUACACGAUUAAAAUGGAGCCAUUCUAUUCUUGCUUGCAGCAUUUAACAAUUCUAUUUUUGAAUGUGGUAAAUUUAGUAGUCUGGUUAAUACCCAGUACCCAAUGGUAUACAAACUUCAGCUGUGUUUGGAUAGCAGUUUGAAAACAAUUUAAUUGGUGUAUAUGUUGCAAGCAAUUUCAGAGUGGCUUUGCUGUUGCAGGAAGGAAAAUGUUUGCUUAGUAUUUGCCAGGAUGUUGGAGUGAGAGGAGUUGGCGUGGCCUUUGCUUAGUAUUUGCCAGGAUGUUGGAGUGAGAGGAGUUGGCGUGGCCUUUGCUUAGUAUUUGCCAGGAUGUUGGAGUGAGAGGAGUUGGCGUGGCCUUUGCUUAGUAUUUGCCAGGAUGUUGGAGUGAGAGGAGUUGGCGUGGCCUUGGAGGGAAGGCAAGGCAAGCAGUCUCCUUUUGGCAGAUGUGCUGAGUGGAACUUCGUUUACAAGUCUUAAGUAUGCUGACAACCCCAAUAUAAUGGUCUGACAGUGCUGCUGGUCAGGUAUUGGGACAGUAGGAGAUAAUGUUGAGCAAGGUGUACAGGUUCCCGGUGUCACGUGUAAUGGCUGUGAAAGGAGUUGAAUGUUAGAGAAAGUGUACAGUUGCAACGUAACCGGAAUAUGAGGGACAUAAUUCUAAUAGCAGAUCAAGAGGAUGCAUUGUAGACUGGUAUUAAGGUAACUGAACUGUCUUGUUUUGGUAAGGAGAUGCCACAACUUUGCACAGACAGAAGUAGUAGUGAUUCAGCUAAAUCUGAAGUAUGCUCACUAUUUCAGUCCGAUAUGCAUUUGAGAUAACAAAAUCCUGUCCAAUAGAAAAUUGUGUGCAUAUUGAAUGAGGAUACAGAGUUAAUUAGGUCAAUGCAGUAAUACGUUUCUUAGUGAAAAUUUUUAUAUUUGCGCUUUGUUAAGCAAGAGAUGUUUGCUGUCAUUACAGAGAUGGAAUUUAAAUUUUCAUGUAAGGUUGCUACAAGCUGUGUUGCAUACGUGAGAUGAUUUUAAUUUUGAAGUGUGGAUGAAUUGUUGGUUGCUGGGAGGGUGGGGUGUGGGCAGAACAGUUUUUUCUCUUCAUGCAGAUGUUAACACCUGGUGAAUACAGACAUUGAGCCUCUUGAGCAUCAACAUUGCCUGGGGAUGGAAGUUUGCUUGCAGCCUUGACUGGAUUGUAGAGUUACUGCUGGUCACAGGAACGGUUAUAGUGGAAGGGGUUACCAGUGGAGUUUGCCAUUAGUAGCUUCGCAUGUUCAGCAAAAGGUUUUCGUACGUAAGUUUGGAAGGUUAUGUUUUUCACGAGGUAGUAUGUAAUGUCUACCUGGACAGUGGGAUGACUGGCUGUUGCAGGAAACUAAAGAUAGAACUUGAUGCAAUGGCACUUAGAUAAUUAACCACAUAUUAAAAUUUAGUUUCUAUUGACACAACUUUUUUACUCUUUAUGUUUUGAAGAUCGAGGAAGUAAUAUUUUGUCUGAGUGUUCAAAGUUCUUGUAUUUUUGUGGAAGGGAGUUUUUGUUUUGUACUCUUAGAGCUCAACAGAGGUGUAAGCAACAGCCGUUUGUGAAGAUUGAUGGUGGUCGUUCUUAUCUGGGCCAAGUAUGUGUGCAAUUUUAACGAGAUCCUUCAUUUUGGAAGACUUAGAACCCACUUGAAGCAGUAUAUUCCAUGCCAUUUUUACGGGACGCUGCGUGGUGAAGUCUCGCGCCUACUGGAAGCGGUAUAUUUCUGCAUGAGGUUUAUUAGAGAUACUUUUCUUAAUAUGUAUGAGUCUUAAUAAUUGCCAGCAAUUGUAAUUCAUUAUUUAUGACGAUGUUUUUUCUAGGAGGGGCCGUACUUGAAUUGUAGCAUGUACAGAUAUCUCCCUAACUCCUAUGAAUUUCAUGGUCAUGAAAUUUUAUGCAGAUUGUUGUUUUAGGGAACACACUUUGACUUUAGCAAAUGGAUGUAUUCAAAAGGGGCAGAAUUUGUUGUAUCAGAGGUGGAGUGAUAUUGAUAACUAAGGCAUUGAAACCAGGACUAAGGGGGGGAUAUCUGUACUGUUACCAUGGUGAAUGCUUUGCUUGCAUAUUGCCUGUUUUCAGUUUGGCCAUUCUGGAAGGAAAAAAGCACUUUUACAGUAGAGAAUGCCGUUUUAUAGCUGUGUUAGAUGCAGUGAGAUGAGGUCAUUUGGGACAAGUUGUUGGAAAAAGGGGGGGCAAUUAAUUAUGGUUCUGUAAUGUCCCGAGACUUUUUAAUGUUGUAAGAUAGUGAUUAACUU